AGCAGCUAUCAGUAAGGAAAGCAGCUAUUGGCUGUCCUAGAAGUCGCUAAAUUACGUCAUCACCUCAUUUGCAUAAAUGGCCUUGUGCAUGUAAUUGUGAUGGAAGCUGUAGGAGAGAGGAACAACGUCGUGGGGGAGACAAAAAGGCGGGAUCAGCUAGGGUCGGCUUCCUGCAUGCGCGAUUCAUUUGCAGUCUCGGCGGGGUGAACCUCUCCUGCUCUGACUGCAGCUGGGAGGUUCUGCUGUGUGAGGACUGGGCCGCCUGUGAGUGCUUUGAGACGGGGGUGGGGCCCACGGCAGCGCUCGUUGAGAAGACAGGUCAGCCACCAGAGGGAGACUCGUUGAGGCCUGGUGACAGACGGAUUACACAUCACGAGGCGAUGGCUUUAUCUGCUGGACGUGCCAGGUCUCGACAGGCUUUCCUGCCAGGACUAAUUGUGGCUGAUUGGUGAGUAAUCAAGGGCUGAUUGCUCACCAGCUGUACAAGUCCCAGAAAGCUGCCAGAAGGGCAGCACACAGGGGAGAGACUGGGGUGUGAAAGGACUCCAGUAUAGUUGGGGACGGUACCGGAGGAAGUUCAGUUUUUGAUUCCCACAGGAUACAGCAAGAUCCGGAGCCCAGAAGACGGUAUCCCGGAGAGGGUCUCUUGGGGGAGACCUUUUCUUUUGGACUUUUAUUUUAAUAACAACCUUUUGAAACUGAGCUAAUCCUACUCUGUCCGUGUCUGAUCUGUGUAAACGUUUUGACCCAACCCCUUGGUCUGCCACAAUAUGUGAUAUUGUUUACAUGUAAUGCUUGACAGGCUAAAUGUUCCAGAAAAUAACCAACAAGAUCAAAUCAAUUUUUAAUAUUAAAUCUUCAACUUCACAUGUUCAAAAGGCAUAUUUUUUUUUUGCGGAACUACCUAUCGAACACUUAACUCACUUCACUUCCCUCUGAAUUUGCCAUUCAGUUUCAGUAGGAGCAAAUUUUCUAACUUAAUUGAGUCUAUCCUGGCUCGCUUUGCAGUGAAGAGUAGUCCAGCACAGCUAAGAAGACGCUCGAAGGCAGGCCUGUGUUGAGUUUGAGGGACAACUUCUUUAUGUACGGAAAACCAUUUUGUCCGAUGGACUAGCAAGAUAUCCAUCCAGCUCCCCUGUAUCAUCUGACCCUUUGGUUGUCAGUGAUGAGAAGAAAUCCUCUUCAUCCGAUGAAUGCUGCCUUAGAUGCUCAGUCUCGUCCCGUGUAACUGUGUCAAAAGGAUUCUUCAGGUAAGCCAAACUUGUACCUUGGAAACAACACAACAUUCACAUGUCCAGUGCUUCAGAAAACUGUUGUGUGGCUGGC
Oncorhynchus mykiss (rainbow trout) is the source of this 1326-nucleotide non-coding RNA. The record is from RefSeq and is a predicted model, not a curated record. NCBI's taxonomy places the organism in Eukaryota, Metazoa, Chordata, Actinopteri, Salmoniformes, Salmonidae.